This 487-nucleotide ribosomal RNA is filed under the name uncultured bacterium. RNAcentral's name for it is "bacterial SSU rRNA". It matches the Rfam family "Bacterial small subunit ribosomal RNA", at positions 28 to 507 of the family's 1533-position model. The record is from RNAcentral.
GACGAACGCUAGCGGGAGGCUUAACACAUGCAAGUCGAGGGGCAGCAUAGGGUAGCAAUACUCUGAUGGCGACCGGCAAACGGGUGAGUAACGCGUAUGCAACCUACCCUGUACAGGGGGAUAACCCGGAGAAAUUCGGACUAAUAUCCCGUAAUAAUAUCCGGAGGCAUCUUUGGAUAUUUAAAGUUCCGACGGUACGGGAUGGGCAUGCGUAACAUUAACUGGUUGGUAAGGUAACGGCUUACCAAGGCUAUGAUGUUUAGGGGUCCUGAGAGGGUGGUCCCCCACACUGGUACUGAGACACGGACCAGACUCCUACGGGAGGCAGCAGUGAGGAAUAUUGGUCAAUGGGCGCAAGCCUGAACCAGCCAUCCCGCGUGCAGGAAGACGGCCCUAUGGGUUGUAAACUGCUUUUCCAGGGAGAGAAACUUACGCACGUGUUGCGUGACUGACGGUACCCUGGGAAUAAGCAUCGGCUAACUCCGUG